GGCCAAUAUCAGUGAGGCACAGACAAAGGAGGCCCUUUCCAGGGGCUGUGUGUUUCAGCUCUCUGAAUUUUGACCUGAGGGCACUCAGCAGAGCAGUGCUGGCUGCCUCUGCCACCCUGGGCUGCACGUCAGGGAUGCUCCAACACCUCACAACUGCCAUUGCCUCUGCUUCAGCCUUGGCCCUUUGGAUAAAGACCCCAUAAUGGCUGACUGAGCAGGUGUAAAACAGUGGAACAGACACAUGUCUGCUUAGAAAUAUGUCAAGAAUGGGUAAAGAGAACUCCUCAGAGUGUGUGGACAGACAAUUUAAAGACUAUAAAAUUAAUCUUUAUUAAACAUAACCUGCAGUGAACAGACACAGUGAACUAAAAUAGAAACAUAACAGGAGAAGCUAUGAAGGAGAGGGCUAUAAGAAAACAGCAUGGAAUUACACAUUCACUGUAAUUUGCAGAGUAGCAAGGAAGUUUAGUGUUAAUACCAAAUAAACCUGCAGACACAGAUGUGCCCAGCAGUCAGAAAUUCAUAUCUGUGCUAUCUCAGCAGCUUCUCCAACAGUCAACAUUGUUUCCUGCUCUUUCACUAUUUUUUAAAAAUAUUCUUAAAGUAUUACAUAUCAAAAUAGUAAUCUUCUCUAGAAGGUGUGUGGGACCAUAUGGUUUUAAAGUUAAAAUGGUAGUUGAGAUGUUG
Molecule: long non-coding RNA, 687 nt
Organism: Zonotrichia leucophrys gambelii
Lineage: Eukaryota; Metazoa; Chordata; Aves; Passeriformes; Passerellidae
Exons: 3
Source: RefSeq, a predicted model, not a curated record